UACAAAGGUGUUUACCAAAUUCUUGUCUAUGGUCGCGUCAAAUUGCUUCAGUUGUUGUCAAAAAGUUAGCAUGUAAAUCCUAACCUUCAAAUGUGACGCGAUGAUGAGAAUCAAGUUAUCAACAUUGUGCAACUUCUAUAACGUACUAAACGUGAAAAAAAUACCCAUAAACAAGACUAUUAAAACACGAUCACUUUUUACAAAUUCAAUAAAUUAUGAAUUAUCAAAACCAAAUGAAUCUACUGUCAUCGUACCUGCCGUAAAUAAUCCAACUAAAGGGCAAGAAGCGGCUGUAGUAACUACACAUUCAGUGAAAAAGAGACCACUUAGACGAAGAUGUGUUGUGAUGAGUACUGAAGGUACUCAUAUGGUUACAGCAUUUGCUACAGCAGAGCAAUAUGAUCUAGAAAAAUUAAUUGAUGGAUUGAAGAAGCAAAACUUAUAUGAAGCUCAAAGAUUUUUAUCUUCUGCGAACUAUGCUUGUUCUCCUGAUGUAAUUCAUGCAACUGCUAAAUUUCAAGUUGGUAAUGAACCCCGCAAUAUAUUCUUUUUUCGAGAAGGUUGUAUGGUAUUAUGGAAUGUAACUGACCUCGAAAGCAGUAAUUUGAUGUCCUUUAUAAAAGAAUUUGAAGAAGACAGUUAUAGUGAUGCUAUGGUUGAAGAAGAAUCUGAACAAAUGACUUAUUACACAUCUGACAAAGGGGGUAGAGCUCAAAUAAAAGAUAAUAUGUUCGUCUUAUCUAAUAGCAAUCCUGAAGAAACACUUCUUGAAAAAUAUACAUAUUCAAAUGCAAUGGCGCUAUCUGUGAAAUUGGGUAUUUGGGAAGCAUCACUUGACCAAUAUAUAGGAUCAAUAGAUCAUUUAACAUGGGACUUGAAACGAGGGAAAAAAAUAAGAUUAACACGGGAUGAAAUGUUACGUAAAACUGGAGAAUUAUUUGCUUUAAGACAUACAAUGAAUUUGCGAUCAGAUUUGUUGGAUGUACCAGAUUUUUAUUGGGAUCGAGAUCAAAUGGAAAGAUUAUACACACAAACUUCUAACUAUUUCAGCAUAUCAAAACGAACAAAGGUUGGCCAUGAAUAAGUGACUGAUGAGCAAUGAAGGUUGCACCAUAUUACCAUUUGUUGAUUACCAAAAUAUUCUUCAAGAGUUGUUAUAGAUUAACAUGGUUACUUAUUUUCUAUGAUGUGACCUUAACAUGUGGCACACCUAUUCCUUCGACUAGAGAAAUUUUGCUAGGUGGCGAAAACGAACAAAUAGAAUUAUAUUUAGGUGAAGAUGUACGGUUAAAAUGUGAUAUUCAUACUGGAUCCAGCAGGCACUAUUCUUGGUACCACAAUGGACACAAAAUUAGAACCAAUUCAAGAUUUACUUUGGAGAGA
RNA transcript from Ctenocephalides felis (cat flea), 1383 nucleotides. It is a transcript of the gene named required for meiotic nuclear division protein 1 homolog, with no coding region annotated. The transcript has 6 exons. The record is from RefSeq and is a predicted model, not a curated record. Lineage: Eukaryota; Metazoa; Arthropoda; Insecta; Siphonaptera; Pulicidae.